AUACGGAGGAUGCAAGCGUUAUCCGGAUUUAUUGGGUUUAAAGGGUGCGUAGGCGGAUGAUUAAGCGUGAGGUGAAAUGCCACUGCUCAACAGUGGAACUGCCUCGCGAACUGGUUGUCUUGAAUGCUCCUGCCGUGGGAGGAAUGUGUGGUGUAGCGGUGAAAUGCAUAGAGAUCACACAGAACACCGAUUGCGAAGGCAUCUCACGAAGGGGUGAUUGACGCUGAGGCACGAAAGCGUGGGGAUCAAACAGGAUUAGAUACCCUGGUAGUCCACGCAGUAAACGAUGAUGACUAACUGCCGGCCCGUUGCGGGUCGGUGGCCAAGCGAAAGCGAUAAGUCAUCCACCUGGGGAGUACGACCGCAAGGUUGAAACUUAAAGGAAUUGGCGGGG
RNAcentral lists this ribosomal RNA (394 nucleotides) under uncultured bacterium. RNAcentral describes it as "partial 16S ribosomal RNA". It matches the Rfam family "Bacterial small subunit ribosomal RNA", at positions 523 to 918 of the family's 1533-position model. The record is from RNAcentral.